GCCCCUGUGGCUCAGCGGUAGAGCAGCUCACUCGUAAUGAGCAGAUCGUCGGUUCGAUUCCGACCAGGGGCU
RNAcentral lists this transfer RNA (72 nucleotides) under Actinomycetes bacterium. RNAcentral describes it as "tRNA-Thr". It matches the Rfam family "tRNA". Rfam says of the family: Transfer RNA (tRNA) molecules are approximately 80 nucleotides in length. Their secondary structure includes four short double-helical elements and three loops (D, anti-codon, and T loops). RNAcentral also lists the same sequence under 1 other name. Lineage: Bacteria; Bacillati; Actinomycetota; Actinomycetes. The record is from RNAcentral.